This 392-nucleotide long non-coding RNA is filed under the name Carica papaya (papaya). RNAcentral describes it as "long non-coding RNA (CPAP_LNC006250)". Lineage: Eukaryota; Viridiplantae; Streptophyta; Magnoliopsida; Brassicales; Caricaceae. The record is from RNAcentral.
CGGACUUCAGGAGACUUUAUUUCUUUUAUGCAAGUGUUGGGAGAACAAAUGAUGCACUCAUCUUAGAAGGAAAAUGUCGACAUAGAAUUGAAGAUAGACUAGGCAGCUUACCAGAAGAUCUUUGCAAGCAUAUUAUGUGUAUACUCCCUAUACAAUCUGCAGUAAGAACUUGCAGUUUGUUAAAAAAGUGGAUAUACACCUAUGAGUCUCUUACUAUUCUUGUAUUUGAUUCUUUUCAAUUUGCUGCUGUUGAAAUAGACUUGACCGUUUUGUGGAAUUCAUAGACCAGACGUUAUUGCAUCAUGAUGACUCAGAUUAUCAGCCAUCAAAUUAAAAUUAUGUAGAGGAAGAGCACACAUCAUCUUAAAGACCAAAUGGAUUGACUUUGCUUU